UUGAAAGGGAAACGAUUGAAGUCAGUCAUGCUAGUGAAAAAUCAGUUUGACGGGUUUUGAGUUCGGGAGUAGAGGCAGGGUCAAACCGUCUCUCUUUUGGACUUGGGAUUUGUCGGAUGUACUUUUUCUUUGGCAGGUCAGCGUCGGUUUCGGAGGUUGUAAAAUACUUGGGGGAAAGUAGCUCUGCUUCGGGAGAGUAUUAUAGACCCUGGGGGAUGCAGCCUGUGGGAUCGAGGAUUGCAGCAAAUGCCUUUGGCUUGUCGCCUGAUCUCUGGAUGUUACCUUGCUUGUGACAACAUUCUUGCCACCGGAGAGUACUGAUGCCCAUUAGGUUAGAUCGAUCAAAAAUUCGUUAAGGAUGUUGACGUA
This 369-nucleotide ribosomal RNA is filed under the name uncultured Glomeromycotina. RNAcentral's name for it is "LSU rRNA". Lineage: Eukaryota; Fungi; Glomeromycota. The record is from RNAcentral.